RNAcentral lists this ribosomal RNA (1095 nucleotides) under Chuanchia labiosa. Its description in RNAcentral is "partial 16S ribosomal RNA". The stretch from base 182 to 1091 matches the Rfam family "Bacterial large subunit ribosomal RNA", at positions 568 to 2044 of the family's 2925-position model. The record is from RNAcentral. Lineage: Eukaryota; Metazoa; Chordata; Actinopteri; Cypriniformes; Cyprinidae.
CAGCUAGCUCAAUUACCCAAUAACUAAACAAUGUAAAUAAAACAAAAUAAGCCUAACACCAAAAAUUAAAUCAUUCUUUUACCUUAGUAUGGGCGACAGAAAAGGUUAUACCCGGAGCAAUAGAAAAAGUACCGCAAGGGAAAGCUGAAAGAGAAAUGAAAUAACUUAUAUAAGCACCAAAAAGCAAAGAUUAAAUCUUGUACCUUUCGCAUCAUGAUUUAGCCAGUAUACCCAAGCAAAGAGACCUUUAGUUUGAAACCCCGAAACCAAGUGAGCUACCCCGAGACAGCCUAUUAAGGGCCAACCCGUCUCUGUGGCAAAAGAGUGGGAAGAGCUCCGGGUAGAGGUGACAGACCUACCGAACUUGGUGAUAGCUGGUUGCCUAAGAAGUGAAUAGAAGUUCAGCCUCGUACUCCCUGAAUCAAAAGGUAUAAAAAGAUAUUAGAGGGAAAUAUAUGAGAGUUAGUUAAAGGGGGUACAGCCCCUUUAACAAAGGACACAACCUUUCCAGGAGGAUAAAGAUCAUAAUACAUAAGACAUCCUGUUCUAGUGGGCCUAAAGGCAGCCAUCUAAACAGAAAGCGUUAAAGCUCAGACAGAAAUAAGUUUAUUAUUCCGACAAGAAAUCUUACUCCCCUAAAUAUUAUUAGGCCAGCCCAUGCCCACAUGGGAGAGACUAUGCUAAAAUGAGUAACAAGAAGGCCAGCCCUUCUCCAAGCACAAGUGUAAGCCAAACCGGACCAACCAUUGGCAAUUAACGAACUCAACCCGAGAGAGUAAUGUGUAUUACAACAAAACCAGGAAGAACCCACAAUUAACCCAUCGUUACCCCCACACUGGUGUGCUAUUAAAGGAAAGACUAAAAGAAGGGAAAGGAACUCGGCAAACACAAGCCUCGCCUGUUUACCAAAAACAUCGCCUCCUGCAACACAACCAAGUAUAGGAGGUCCAGCCUGCCCAGUGACUACAAGUUCAACGGCCGCGGUAUUUUGACCGUGCAAAGGUAGCGCAAUCACUUGUCUCUUAAAUGGAGACCUGUAUGAAUGGCUAAACGAGGGCUUAACUGUCUCCCCCCUCCAGUCAGUGAAAUUGAUCU